UGCUCGCCUGUGACCACACCUUGAGCGAA
This 29-nucleotide small RNA is filed under the name Bombyx mori (domestic silkworm). RNAcentral's name for it is "ovarian small RNA-34181". The record is from RNAcentral. Lineage: Eukaryota; Metazoa; Arthropoda; Insecta; Lepidoptera; Bombycidae.